Molecule: unclassified non-coding RNA, 308 nt
Organism: Ursus americanus (American black bear)
Lineage: Eukaryota; Metazoa; Chordata; Mammalia; Carnivora; Ursidae
Gene: 7SK
Rfam family: 7SK RNA
About the family: 7SK was discovered as an abundant small nuclear RNA in the mid-70s but a possible function has only recently been suggested. Two independent studies have found that 7SK RNA binds the CDK9/cyclin T complex (known as elongation factor P-TEFb).
Source: Ensembl
GAGCCAGUCAGCUGUGGCAUCUCUCACCCUAUUGAUCGUCAAGUUGGAUUUAGCUGAUCAGGCUGACUGGGUGGGAAUCUCCUUUCUUCUGUCCUCAACUGACCCACCUGUAUCCCUCCUAAAGUUUCAGUGUCAGAAGAAGUUGACCGUGACUUAUAGAGGACCAGUCUUUGGUCAAAGAUGUGUGAGUCUACGCUCACAUGGUAUGCCUCAAAACAAAGCAGUUUUUAUCCUUUCUCUAGCAGUUGGGAACUCAGGGAAGUAGUCAUUUUCCAUAGUAUGACGAAACAGGACUUGGCAAUCUCUUU